RNAcentral lists this small RNA (554 nucleotides) under Pan troglodytes (chimpanzee). Its description in RNAcentral is "processed transcript". The record is from RNAcentral. Lineage: Eukaryota; Metazoa; Chordata; Mammalia; Primates; Hominidae.
GAGAGGCUAAAGGGCGCCACACAGUACCUGUGUGACAAGGUCGUCCCUGGGAACAGGGUUACCAUCAUGGGCAUCUACUCCAUCAAGAAGUUUGGCCUGACCGCCAGCAGGGGCCGUGACAGGGUGGGCGUGGGCAUCCGAAGCUCCUACAUCCGUGUCCUGGGCAUCCAGGUGGACACAGAUGGCUCUGGCCGCAGCUUUGCUGGGGCCGUGAGCCCCCAGGAGGAGGAGGAGUUCCGUCGCCUGGCUGCCCUCCCCAAUGUCUAUGAGGUCAUCUCCAAGAGCAUCGCCCCCUCCAUCUUUGGGGGCACGGACAUGAAGAAGGCCAUUGCCUGCCUGCUCUUUGGGGGCUCCCGAAAGAGGCUCCCUGAUGGACUUACUCGCCGAGGAGACAUCAACCUGCUGAUGCUAGGGGACCCUGGGACAGCCAAGUCCCAGCUUCUGAAGUUUGUGGAGAAGUGUUCUCCCAUUGGGGUAUACACGUCUGGGAAAGGCAGCAGCGCAGCUGGACUGACAGCCUCGGUGAUGAGGGACCCUUCGUCCCGGAAUUUCAU